This 23-nucleotide non-coding RNA is filed under the name Arabidopsis thaliana (thale cress). Lineage: Eukaryota; Viridiplantae; Streptophyta; Magnoliopsida; Brassicales; Brassicaceae. The record is from RNAcentral.
GUAAGAGAACUUCUUGGUGCAGC